CCCUUAGAUGUUCUGGGCCGCACGCGUGCUACACUGAACGGUUCAAUGGGUGAGGUAGUGCGAAAGCAUGACCCAAUCUCAAAAUCCGUUCGUGCUGGGGAUAGAAGCUUGCAAUUCUCCUUCUUGAACGAGGAAUACCUUGUAAGCGCGAGUCAUCAUCUCGCGCUGAAUACGUCCCUGCCCUUUGUACACACCGCCCGUCGCUCCUACCGAUUGAGUGGUCCGGUGAGGCUUCGGGAGAGCUAAAUGGAUUGUGUUUCACAAACUAUUUGGCUUGAACGUAGUCAAACCUUACUACUUAGAGGAAGGAGAAGUCGUAACA
This 322-nucleotide ribosomal RNA is filed under the name uncultured eukaryote. RNAcentral's name for it is "partial 18S ribosomal RNA". It matches the Rfam family "Eukaryotic small subunit ribosomal RNA", at positions 1470 to 1796 of the family's 1831-position model. The record is from RNAcentral.